Molecule: ribosomal RNA, 1482 nt
Filed under: uncultured Bordetella sp.
Lineage: Bacteria; Pseudomonadati; Pseudomonadota; Betaproteobacteria; Burkholderiales; Alcaligenaceae
Description: partial 16S-23S ribosomal RNA intergenic spacer
Rfam family: Bacterial small subunit ribosomal RNA
Source: RNAcentral
AGUUCGAUCAUGGCUCAGAUUGAACGCUGGCGGAUGCUUUACACAUGCAAGUCGAACGGCAGCACGGACUGGUCUGGUGGCGAGUGGCGAACGGGUGAGUAAUGUAUCGGAACGUGUCGAAAGAGUAGCGGGGGAUAAUCACGGCGAAAGUAUGAAGUAAUACUGGGCAUACGGGCCUCUUCGGGGGAAAGCGGGGACCUCGGGCCUCGCACUAUUAGAGCGGCCGAUAUCGGAUUAGCUAGUUGGUGGGGUAAGACCGUCACAGGGCGACGAUCCGUAGCUGGUUUGAGAGGACGACCAGCCACACUGGGACUGGAGACACGGCCCAGACUCCUACGGGAGGCAGCAGUGGGGAAUUUUGACAAUGGGGGAAACCCUGAUCCAGCCAUCCCGCGUGUGCGAUGAAGGCCUUCGGGUUGUAAAGCACUUGGCAGGAAAGAAACGGCACGGAUAAUACCCCGUGCAACUGACGGUACCUGCAGGAAUAAGCACCGGCUAACUACGUGCCAGCAGCCGCGGUAAUACGUAGGGUGCAAGCGUUAAUCGGAAUUACUGGGCGUAAAGCGUGCGCAGGCGGUUCGGAAAGAAAGAUGUGAAAUCCCAGAGCUUAACUUUGGAACUGCAUUUUUAACUACCGAGCUAGAGUGUCAGAGGGAGUGGUGGAAAUCGCGUGUAGCAGUGAAAUGCGUAGAGGUGGAGGAACACCGGAUGGCGUGGCGCAGCCUCCUGGGAUAACACUGACGCUCAUGCACGAAAGCGUGGGGAGCAAACAGGAUUAGAUACCCUGGUAGUCCACGUCCUAAACGAUGUCAUCUAGCUGCUGGGGCCUUCGCCUUGGUAGCGCAGCUAACGCGUGAAGUUGACCGCCUGGGGAGUACGGUCGCAAGAUUAAAACUCAAAGGAAUUGACGGGACCACGUUGUGGAUGAUGUGAUUAAUUCGAUGCAACGCGAAAACCCUACCUAAAUUCUUGACAUGUCUGGAAUCCUGAAGAGAUUUGGGAGUGCUCGCAAGAGAACCGAACACAGGUGCUGCAUGGCUGUCGUCAGCUCGUGUCGUGAGAUGUUGGGUUAAGUCCCGCAACGAGCGCAACCCUUGUCAUUAGUUGCUACGAAAGGGCACUUGUCGAGACCGUUGGCACAGAAAUCCUGGAGGAAGGUGGGGAUGACGUCAAGUCCUCAUGGCCCUUAUGGGUAGGGUCACACGUCAUACAAUGGUCGGGACAGAGGGUCGCCAACCCGCGAGGGGGAGCCAAUCCCAGAAACCCGAUCGUAGUCCGGAUCGCAGUCUGCAACUCGACUGCGUGAAGUCGGAAUCGCUAGCAAUCGCGGAUCAGCAUGUCGCGGUGAAUACGUUCCCGGGUCUUGUACACACCGCCCGUCACACCAUGGGGAGUGGGCUGCACAGAAGUAGUUAGCCUAACCGUAAGGAGGGCGAUUACCACGGUAGGAUUCAUGACUGGGGUGAAGUCGUAACAAGGUAG